Molecule: ribosomal RNA, 253 nt
Filed under: uncultured bacterium
Lineage: Bacteria
Description: partial 16S ribosomal RNA
Rfam family: Bacterial small subunit ribosomal RNA
Source: RNAcentral
UACAGAGGUCCCGAGCGUUGUUCGGAUUCACUGGGCGUAAAGGGUGCGUAGGCGGUGAGGUAAGUCGGAUGUGAAAUCUCCAAGCUCAACUUGGAAAUGGCAUUGGAAACUACCUUGCUGGAGGUUUGGAGGGGAGACUGGAAUUCUCGGUGUAGCAGUGAAAUGCGUAGAUAUCAAGAGGAACACCAGUGGCGAAGGCGAGUCCCUGGACAACACCUGACACUGAGGCACGAAAGCUAGGGGAGCAAACAGG